GGGACUCUCUCUGUCGUUUCACCUCCCCGGUCUCUCGCAAAUGCUCGCAUAGAAUCGGAGUUACAGCUGGAUGUGGAAAAAAUAACUGAGUUGUUUGGUGGUGCUAUAACGCGGAGCUACAACAGUGGGCAGCUAUCCACCGGUGUAUGACAGAAAGGACAUGCCGCGACCGCCGAUCGACAGGUGUUUGCUAACGCGGAGGUCAAUCGUGGAUCAGGGAAAGCGAAGGCAGGAGCGUGAGGUGAACUGAAUUUCAGGCGAUCCUGCUCAUCACGGCCUCGUCUGAGAUGACAGCUGAACAGCCGACACCGACAGAGGAGAUAACUUCUGUACACAGCACGAAGGUGAAAAGCCCAAAUGUUAAACAUCUGAAAAAAUGCCGCGUGACACAAGCAGGAUGUCGACAACACCACUCAAAAGCACAGCAGAGGUCACACACAAAGCCACAGCCCUACAGACCCAAAGCUCGUAGAGGGAGUCUGGCUCCAAUUUUGCUACAGUAAAGGAAUGAAGUGAAGGAGUGACCACAUCUAGUGGUGAGUCUCCUGCUUUGUUUCUUCUGAAGAAGAUGAAAUAAAAAGAAAAACAGAAACGAAGAUCUUUAAAGAAACUUUUCUUUGCUGUUUGGCAUUGCGUUACAUUUCAGUGCAAUGCAAAUCAUAUGCAGUACUAACUAUAAAAAUCACAAUAUUUCUCAGAUCAGUGGUAUAUAAGAAAUAUGUGUAUGACAUAAAAAGGUUAUUAAGGCACUACAUAAAUGAAUGUAUCUGAUACAAUUAUAAUUUGAUGUUUAUGUUUAUAAGUCAGUUUUUAAUAUGGCCUUAUUCAUUUUACUGGUUUUGAUGGAAUGAAGAACAAGUUUUCAGUCUUCUAUUGUUGUAACUUUGCACUGUAACUGCUAUUGUUUCAUGAAUUUCAGUUUCAAAUAAAGUCACCCAGAGUUAAAGCAUAAAAA
This is a long non-coding RNA of Oreochromis aureus, 955 nucleotides long. The record is from Ensembl. Lineage: Eukaryota; Metazoa; Chordata; Actinopteri; Cichliformes; Cichlidae.